GACGAACGCUGGCGGCGUGCCUAACACAUGCAAGUCGAGCGGAGUCGAUCGACGGAAGCCUUCGGGCGGAAGAUGGUUGACUUAGCGGCGGAUGGGUGAGCAACGCGUGGGCAACCUGCCUCGAAGACCGGGAUAACAGUCCGAAAGGGCUGCUAAUACCGGAUGUGGUCAAGGAUCCGCAUGGAUUUUUGAUUAAAGGGGAAACCCGUUUCGAGAUGGGCCCGCGUCCUAUCAGCUAGUUGGUGAGGUAAAAGCUCACCAAGGCGACGACGGGUAGCCGGCCUGAGAGGGUGACCGGCCACACUGGAACUGAGACACGGUCCAGACUCCUACGGGGGGCAGCAGUGGGGAAUCUUCCACAAUGGGCGAAAGCCUGAUGGAGCGACGCCGCGUGAGCGAAGAAGGCCUUCGGGUGUAAAGCUCUGUCUGGAGGGACGGAAGGAAGUGACGGUACCUCCGGAGGAAGCCACGGCUAACUACGUG
RNAcentral lists this ribosomal RNA (483 nucleotides) under uncultured bacterium. RNAcentral describes it as "bacterial SSU rRNA". It matches the Rfam family "Bacterial small subunit ribosomal RNA", at positions 28 to 507 of the family's 1533-position model. The record is from RNAcentral.